RNA transcript from Quercus lobata, 4283 nucleotides. It is a transcript of the gene named TMV resistance protein N, with no coding region annotated. NCBI's taxonomy places the organism in Eukaryota, Viridiplantae, Streptophyta, Magnoliopsida, Fagales, Fagaceae. The transcript has 6 exons. The record is from RefSeq and is a predicted model, not a curated record.
GGUUUCAUAAUCGCCAAUACAUUUUAUUGUUAAACAACUUCUACUAUUUGAUGAUUGUCCUUUUCCUUUUUUAAGUUUUUCCAAAUUAUGAUAUUUUUUGGUAAUACCUUCUACUAAGGCAGUUAAGUAUGGGUCAAUAGAAAAAAUAAAAUAACAUAAUAUUAUACUAUCUUACCAAAUAAUAAGGAGGUUAUCUAAUAUGUGGUUUAGAAUUUUUUUAGAAGAAACUCUUAAUAAUUUUGUUCAAGUAUUAAAAGUGGGAUUUCAAUAAGUUUGUGCCCCUUGUCUAACUGGAUUUUCCAUGCGAUUUCUUGCCAAAAACCUAAAGCUGAUUUCCUAGAAAAACAAUAAUUAGAAAAAAUCCUAAUAAAGUUAUAGCUCCUAGAUCUAUAAAUUACAUUAGGCUUACUUAAAAAAAAAAAAAAUCUGCAGUGGUAAAUUGUAAUGCUCAAAUUGAACAUGUUGAAUUUAGUUUAGGUUCAUAUUUCAAUUUUAUAAUUUAACUAUUUACAUGUCCUGUAUGCUUUGUGAAUGACAGCUGUGCUGAAUUUGAAUUUAUCCAAGAGAUUGUUGAAGCGAUCUCAAAUUUUAAAUUAAAUCGGAUGCCAUUAUUUGUUGCUCAAUACCCUAUUGGAAUAAAUUCUUGUGUAGAGGCCAUAAUAUUGAAAUUAGAAAUUGGGUCAGAUGAUGUUCGUAUGUUAGGUAUGUAUGGCCUUGGUGGAGUGGGUAAAACAACCAUUGCAAAAGCAGUUUAUAACAAAAUAUUAGAUCAUUUCGAAGGAAGCAUGUUUUUGGAAAAUGUUAGAGACAAGUCAGGGACAUUUGAUGGCAUUAUUCAACUACAAGAGAUACUUUUUCAUGAGACCCUAGGGAUAAAUGGACAACUGAAGAUGGGCAGUGAAUCGAAAGGAACCACUGCGAUAGAGAACAUACUUUGCAAUAAAAGAAUUCUUCUAAUUCUUGAUGAUGUGGAUAAAUUAUACCAAAUAGAAAGAUUGAUUGGAGGAUGUGAUUGGCUUGCUUCUGGAAGUAGAAUAAUUAUAACAACAAGAAAUAAACAUUUCUUACAAACUUUAAGAAUACAUCAUUUGACUUACGAGGUUAAGGAAUUAGAGGAUCAUGAAGCUCUUGAACUAUUUAGUAUGCAUGCCUUUCAUAAAAACAAACCCGAUGAAGAUUAUUCAAAACUUACUGAUCAGGUUAUAUGUUAUGCCAAGGGCCUUCCAUUAGCUCUAUCAAUAAUUGGUGCCAAUUUGCAUGGAAGAAGUGAAAUGGAAUGGAAAAGUGCAUUAGAUAAGUACAAAAUGAUUCCUGACAAAGAUAUUCAAAAAGUACUCCAAGUAAGUUAUCAAGGAUUGGAUGAAACGGAGCAAGAUAUUUUUCUCGAUCUUGCAUGUUUCUUCAAGGGUCUUUACAAGGAUUAUGUUGUAGAUAUACUAAAUUCUUGCAAUCUAUACCCAAUUAUUGGUAUUAAAAAUCUUAUAGAUAAGUGUCUCAUAAUUGUUGAUCAAUUUAACAAAUUAUGGAUGCAUGACUUGCUACAACAAAUUGGUAGAGAAAUUGUUCGACAAGAAUCACCACAAAUACCUGGAUUACGUAGCAGACUAUGGUGUUAUAAGGAUGCUUUUGAAGUACUAACAGAAAAUAAGGGAUCUGAUAAUAUUCGAGGCAUAACGAUAAUCUCGCCUGAACCAACAAAGUUGCAACUAAAAGCUAACUGUUUUGAGAAGGUGGGAAAUCUCAAGUUCCUUUUGGUUAGUAACGUUAAUACUUCUGGAGAUCUUGAAUAUCUUCCCAAUGGAUUAAGGGUGCUUGAUUGGUCUAGAUUUCCUUCAUCUUCCUUACCAUCCAAUUUUCGUCCUCACAACCUUGUUGUACUUAACAUGCCACAAAGUCCCGUUAUAUUGUACAAGAUUUUCGAGAGUAUACAAUACAAAAGCUUGACAUAUAUGAAUUUCAGUUUUUGUCAAUACGUUAGAAAAUUACCGAACUUAUUGAGUGCCACCCCAAACAUAAAGGAAUUGAAUCUCCGUGAAUGUAAAAAAUUAGUCAAGGUUCAUGACUCUGUUGGAUGUCUUGCUAAGCUUGAAAGCUGGGACCUCGGCAAUUGCUAUAAACUUCGAAUUCUUCCAAGCUGCAUCUCAAUGAAGUCUCUUAAACUUUUAUGUCUUUAUCUGUGCGAAAGGGUUAAGAGGUUGCCUGAUUUUCCACAUGAAAUGAAAAAUUUAAAGUAUCUAAGUUUGGCACACACUUCCAUUAGAGAGCUUCCUCCAUCAUUUAGGAAUCUCACCGGGCUUGAGCGAUUAGAUUUUGGUUCCUAUUUCAAUUUGUGCCAUCUUCCAAGAAGCAUCGAUCAAUUGCAACAUCUUCGCAUACUCAAGCUUUAUGAAUAUGACCAUUUGCGACAAUAUUUAUCAAAUUAUGGUUUUCUAAGGUUGAAUUUUCUAAAAAAGUUGACUUCUUGUUUCACCCCCUCAAAGAAAUGUUUAUUAUCGGGGAGAGAAGGUUUGAGCCUCCAAGAAAGCAUUGUCAAAUUCAAUAGAUUACAAUAUCUUCAGAUUAGGGAUUCCAAGUUCCUUCAAAAAAUUCCAAAGCUUCCAGAAAGUAUAAGAAUAGUACGCGCAAUAAAUUGCAUUUCAUUGAGUUCAAAAUCAGUAAGAAAAUUAUUCCUUUAGUUUAGAAGAAAGUUAGAGGUUCCACAAAAUACAAAAUAUGAAGACAACAUAUUAAUGGAUUCGCGUUCACAUCACAAAUUAUCGCAUCAAAUUGAUUACUCUUCCAAGAUUGAUUACUCUUCCAGGAUUGAUUUCUCCCUCUCCCUCUUCAAGCCCUCACGCACUCUACAUGCGUUUCUGAUGGAUUAUACGAGGGGCUAUGGAGAGUCAUAUAAUAUUAUAGUAACAGGAAAGAAGAUUCCAAAGUGGUUCAACCAUCAAAGUAUUGAAAGUUCCAUAUCGUUUUGGAUUGGUACUAAAUUUCCAACAAUUGCGGUUUGUUUAGGUUUUCAUCUAGUUCCGUUGAAGGACAGUUAUGCUAAUAAUGAUAAGUACGGUUCUGUUCGUGAUGAUGUAAUCAGUUGGCAAUGUCAUGUCAACAUUUUCACCAACGGUCAUACGCAACCUUUCACGCUGCGGAGGAACUUUUACCAUAUUAAGUGUGAUCAUCUGUGGUCUUACGGUGUUUCUAAUAGCAAAUUACAACAGUAUUUCGGAAACAUGAUGCAAGGUGAUCGGAAUCUUGUUGAGGUUUCAUGUAAAAUCUCUAGGUGGAAUAGUAUAAAAGGAAAAUUCGCUCCUGUGAUUGCAAGGAUAGGGGCACAUGCAGAAUGCAUUUGUCAUCCUCCAAAUUCCGUUACAUUCGAUGACAACUCUCAAAAUGUUGAUGACAACUCUGACUACUCUGAAAAUGAUGAUGACAGCUCUGAUGACAACUAAGACAAAGCUUGCACCUUUACUAUCUCCUUUCUCCACUUCUUGUGGGACCAUCUUCACUGCAUUCAAGCAAUGAUGGUUGAGAUUUGAUUUUGUCAUCAAUUGCCCAUAUGACUCAAAUGGGUCUGACUUGUUUUUGGGAUUUGACUCAACUGUUGGAGUUGGGUUUGAUUUGGCUUCCUCUACAAUGGCCGAUCCGUCUACAAACUAUGAUUCUGGCUUCAACCCAUAUCCAUAGUAGAAGAAAAUGAGAACCUCUUGAUCAAAUUUUGAGGAAACAUAGCAAGAUUUGGUUACAGGGCAAGAUAGACUUCAGCUUAUGUCUCGACUCUCUACUGUGACAUUCUCAGUUCUUGUGAACAGGCCCCCAACUGGCAUAUUCAGCAUUAUAGGUGUUUGAGUAAAGUGGAUUGUAGGAGCAACAGGAUUUCUUUUCUGGUUUCCAGGUGGGAAAGGGAAUUGAGAUUUCACACUUCUUUAUAGACGACCAUAUAUCAUCUUCUUUUGGAGAUGUACAACUGAACUAAGCUAUCUUAGUUGUCUGCUUCUUUUCUUUGAGACUCCCAAAUUAAUAAUGAAAUGGGUUCUAUGGAAGACUAUUGGCAGUUGUUUAAGGCUAUAAGGCAAUAGAACUCAUGGUUGUUGAUGCUCUGUUAAAAACAAAUGAUUAGCUUGACAUUGCAUCCUCAAUUCAUCAACCGGCAGGAUUUUGAAACUUCUAGGUUUUACUUUACAGCACUGGCAUAGUCUCUCUGAAGUGCAGUUAGAUGACUCAAUCUUAAAAAUCAUUGAAAUUUCUGAUGUACAAACUCUAGAGGAAGCAAGAGACAUUAUCCCACGCAUUCGAAGAAG